RNAcentral lists this long non-coding RNA (1365 nucleotides) under Canis lupus familiaris (dog). Its description in RNAcentral is "lncRNA (ENSCAFG00040009738.1)". Lineage: Eukaryota; Metazoa; Chordata; Mammalia; Carnivora; Canidae. The record is from RNAcentral.
AUGGCUCAAAAAAAAAAAAAAAAAAAAAACCCCACCGGCCGCCAGCCCGGGGGGGGGAGUGGGGAGGUCGGCGGACGCAGCCCCCGAGCCUGGCGCCCCUCCCGCCGCCGAACACACACGGCCCCGCGGCGGACGCCGGCUCUCCCCACCCCGCGGGGCUCGCGCUUUCCAGAGGCCUCGGCACCCCGUUUCCUGAAAAGCUGCGGGCACCCCGGCCCGCCGGCCCCGGGCCCGGCCUGGAGGACAAAGUUUUCCGAAGUUGAGGCGCUCGGGGGGCGGGCGGGCCCGGGCGGGGGCGGGGGCGAGGCGGCGCCGCACCGGGCACUCGCCGCCGGGCGCCGGGCCUGCUCCGCCCCGGCCCGGCUCCGGCCCCGGGCCCGCCGCCGCCGCCGCCGCCGCGGGCGCGGGAAGGAGCCGCCGGGGAUGCAGCCGCCCGCCCGCCCGCCGCCCGCCGCCCAACACCUCAGCCCCUUACCCCGCGGUCCGCCCCGCUCGGCCGGCUCAGGGGCUCCGGGCGCGUCCUCCGCCGCGGUCCGCAGCGUCCUGCUCCCCGGGCAGCCCCAUGUCGGGGGGCGGGGAAGGGCCGGCGGCCGCCGCCGCCGCCGGCUGGAAAGUCCCUGCUGGGCUGCAACCCCGGCUCGCGCACGCGGCGGCCGCGCCGCGCCGCGCUCCCUCGCGCCCUCACGCACCCUCUCGCAGCACUUCCUCUCGCGCGCUGGAAAUCCCCGCCGGCCGCCGGAGCGCGCCCCGGCGCGCGCCCGCCCCGCCCCCGCCGCCCGCGCGCGCGCGUGGGAGCGCAGGACCCGGCGAGCGCGGCCGGCCCCACGCGCACGCGCGCCCCCGCGCUGCCCCCUCCCCUCCCCGCGCGCACGCGCACGCGCGCACACGCGCACGCGGCCCGUUGCUAAGGCCCAGCCCGCCCCGCGCCCGCCCGCCGGCCUUAGCAACGGCGCGGCGGCGCGAGCCCGGCCGGCCCCCGCCGGCCCCCGCCGGCCCCCGCCGCCCCCCGCGCCCGCCGCCCGCCCCCUCGCUCUGCGCGGCCCGCGCGCCCCCGCCGUCCUCCGUCCUCCUCCCCCUUUCCGGGUUAAAAAAAAAAAAAAAAAGCCACGCAGCCGCGUGUGGGCCCCAAAGGUGCAGGUUCGGCGGCGGCCGGGAGCGAUGGCGUCACCCGGUUCACCCGCGCAGCCACGCUCACUCCCGCAGGCGGCACCCUGGACACACGCUCGCUUGCACCCGCGCACUUGCCCCUCACACUCACGCUCACACGCCCCCGGGCACAGACACCCUCAAGCCCUCGCACCACACACACACUCACACCCGCCGCAGCACACGCGCGCUCACACACGCGCAGGUGGGUGGGGCUGA